Molecule: long non-coding RNA, 2105 nt
Organism: Monodelphis domestica (gray short-tailed opossum)
Lineage: Eukaryota; Metazoa; Chordata; Mammalia; Didelphimorphia; Didelphidae
Source: Ensembl
UCAUGGUGUCAUUCCUGAACAUAGAAGUAGGACACAUGUGGGUGAUAGCAAGGUCAAGGGUAUGAUUAUUUUUCUGUAGCUAAGGUGAAGUAAAAGGAACUGGUUAGAUUGAGGAACAGGGAGUUUAGGAUAUUUGAGGGAAUAUCAAUAUGUAUGUUGAAUUAUCCUAAUACAAAAGGUAGUAAUUGGUUUUAGAAAAGGAAUGUGAGCCAGGCACUAGACUCAUUGAGGAAAGAAGAAUGCUUUAGACCACCAAGAUUUGAUUUGGAUAAUAAAUUUGAAUAGUGUCAAUCUCAAAGGAGCAGAGGCUACUGUAUUAGAGGGUUGGUUUGGGUAUAAUGGAGAAAGAAUAGAUGAUCCCAAAAAGUAGAAGGAGGGUGAGAUGUAUUACCCCCUUCAAUCUUCUUCAAAUAUGUCUCUCCACUAACCCUGCCUUUACUCCCCUCUAAUAACUGAUUUAACGAGUGAACCUUUUCUCUUGGGGAAAGAGAGAGAAAUCAGCUCUCUCCCCCUUCAAUAUGACAAGGAAGCCAAUUUAGGAUAACUGACAACUUUUAUUCUAACAAAUUGUGGUUAGGGGUAAGACAAGAAAGAUGUAUGCAGGUUGGAUUUUAUAGGAAAGAGGGUAAGGAAGUCCCUGUCUGACUAAAAAUAUCUUUCUUCCUCCCCCCAAAGUUGAGAGACCCAGGCUUGUCAGCCUGGUCUCUAAGAGGCUCAGGGUUUGUGACCCCUGGUCUUUAACCCAGCAGAGCCAAUGUCCAAACUUAGGGUAUAACAGGAGCUGUGUGAGAUCUGAUGCUGUUCUUAUUCUUCUCAGUUUUUGCCACAAUUCUUGGUAUUUGGGGGGGGGUAUGGUGGUUAGGUUCAAUGAGGGAUUUGUAUGGCUCAGGAGAGAAAUCUCUGAUCAGCCUGUCACCCUUGGUUUUUUCAGGCAAGAGAGAGAUCAACUGUCUCCCACCUGGAAUCUCUCUUCCCUCAAGAUUCCAAGCCUCCUCCACCUUCCCCUGCUGUAAGCCUAAUGAUUUUCCAAGAAGGGUAUCUUCACUUCGAUGUGAGAUGAAUUAAAGUGAGGCAGAGUUGCACAAAAUCAUAAGCCUCACUUCUUUCUUCCAGUUAUCUAAGUUCACUGUCACUACAAAAGUCAAGAUGACUGGGUGAUGCUCCAGGAUGAAGUAAAUGACCUUGGCAUCUUCAAUAUCUGAACAAUAUCUGCUUCGUCUGCCAUCAUGGUUGUUGGAUCAAAUUGCUUUCUUUUGCCUACUACACCAGAAGAAGUCUUCACAUGUGUGGCACAGAUGACUUUGUAACUUACUGAUAGAUAUAAGACCAUUGGCUAGCCUCAACCUGGUUUAUCCCAUCUGCUGAGACAGUUUUCCUGGCAGGUGGCCGAUGCCCAUGCUACAGCUUCUUCAAGCCACAGGAGAGAGUUGGCUGAUAGGUGGAUACCACAGGGGAAUGAAUAACCCUGAAAAGGGCUUGACAAGCCCUCACACUAGAGGUACUAGAGCUUCUUGAACAUCCCAAACAAAAUGUAACCAGUACUGGAAAGAUUAGCCAGGAAAGAAGCAGCCAGUUUUAAAGGAGUCCCAGAAAAUGGAAGGAGGGGGAAAGGAAAAAAGAUUAAGAUGAAAGCUUGACACUGCUGCCACCUCUCUUAGCAAGGGUAGGACCAUGUUCAGAGUGACUGAGGACCCAUGGCUCCCCUCCCAUUGGAAGGAAGCCUACAAUAGCUUGUUUUCCUCAAUUAAACGUUAGUCACAUGUGGGAAAGAGUAAAUAAUUCUGGUUGGCUGGUUAAAAACUUGAAUGCCUCCCCACCAAUCUGGCUUAAUAGCCAAUCCAAAAUCUAUUUCUUCACCAUGUGGUUAGUUCCUGAAACUUAUUAUAGAAUGUACAUACCUGCUCCAAUACCCACUUAGGGAUUCAUUAGCGGCAUACACUGAAUGUGUUCUUGAAGCCUGGGCUCAUGGCCAAUCUUCCCUCCCACCUUCCUUACCCAUGGGAGGUUUUGUUAUUUUUCUUGCCCUCAGGGGGCAGAAUUGGAAACAAUGGGAAGGCAUUCAAAUGACUUCAAAUAUCAGGCUGAGAAAUAAAGAUAUGAAGGUG